GGAUGUGAAGGCCAUCUGGCAGUGACAUCUGUCACCCCACUGAUCGCCAGUGUUGAUUUGGCUGAUCUGGCUGGCUAGGCGGAUGUUCCCUUCCUCCCUCACUGUUCCAUGUGCAUCCCUCCCAAAGUUGUGCUCUUUGGUCGAGGAGAUUGACCUUGCCCGACAGAGGAGGACCGUUCUUUGGUCAAGGGUAUAUGAGUAGCUGCGCUCCCCUGUUAGAACCUCCAAACAAGCUCUCAAAUAUUGUUCAUUCUAUCUGUCUAUCUACCCAUAUUGUUGUACCCAUUAAUCAU
This 293-nucleotide small nuclear RNA is filed under the name Prolemur simus (greater bamboo lemur). RNAcentral describes it as "7SK RNA (ENSPSMG00000024370.1)". It matches the Rfam family "7SK RNA". Rfam says of the family: 7SK was discovered as an abundant small nuclear RNA in the mid-70s but a possible function has only recently been suggested. Two independent studies have found that 7SK RNA binds the CDK9/cyclin T complex (known as elongation factor P-TEFb). Lineage: Eukaryota; Metazoa; Chordata; Mammalia; Primates; Lemuridae. The record is from RNAcentral.